Molecule: long non-coding RNA, 421 nt
Filed under: Androctonus crassicauda
Lineage: Eukaryota; Metazoa; Arthropoda; Arachnida; Scorpiones; Buthidae
Source: RNAcentral
UGAUGAUUUCAUCUCAAUGAGAAAAUUUUCUUCGGUGUCUUUUACAGUUAAAUAUAAAUUUAAAAUGAUUGGAUUCAUGAAGAGAUUCGGAGGAAGACCUAGGGGAAUAUCAGUAGCCGGAUUUUUCUUUAUCAAAAAGCAGUUUUUCAUACGAAUGGUGAAUGGUAUGUACUCGUUUUUCUCGAUUCUACGUCAGUUAACUGGAGUAACUGGCGAAGAGAAGCGUCACCUUAGAAUUUCUACAAGUGUUUUCACAAGAAACCAAACUCUGUCUUAAAUUUCAGAAGACACUUUAAAUUUCGUUACAUUUCCGAAGAAAGAUUUUAAAUGAUAAUUAGGGGAAAGUGGGGCAAGACGGUGUAGGUAUUAUUUCUCUGAAAUAUGCCACCACCUAAAAAACAUUUUGUCGACUUCUUACGUG